UACGAAGGGGGCUAGCGUUGUUCGGAAUUAUUGGGCGUAAAGAGCUCGUAGGCGGUCUGUCGCGUCUGCUGUGAAAACUCAGGGCUUAACCCUGAGCUUGCAGUGGGUACGGGCAGACUAGAGUGCGGUAGGGGAGACUGGAAUUCCUGGUGUAGCGGUGAAAUGCGCAGAUAUCAGGAGGAACACCGGUGGCGAAGGCGGGUCUCUGGGCCGUAACUGACGCUGAGGAGCGAAAGCAUGGGGAGCGAACAGG
This 253-nucleotide ribosomal RNA is filed under the name uncultured bacterium. RNAcentral's name for it is "partial 16S ribosomal RNA". It matches the Rfam family "Bacterial small subunit ribosomal RNA", at positions 524 to 776 of the family's 1533-position model. The record is from RNAcentral.